CCUACGGGUGGCAGCAGUGGGGAAUAUUGCGCAAUGGGCGAAAGCCUGACGCAGCGACGCCGCGUGAGGGAUGAAGGUCUUCGGAUCGUAAACCUCUGUCAGCAGGGAAGAACGGUCACUGUGCUAAUCAGCAGUGACUUGACGGUACCUGCAAAGGAAGCACCGGCUAACUCCGUGCCAGCAGCCGCGGUAAUACGGAGGGGGCGAGCGUUAAUCGGAAUUACUGGGCUUAAAGCGCUCGUAGGCGGUAUGGCAAGUCAAGGGUGAAAUCCCCGCGCUCAACGUGGGAACUGCCUUGGAAACUGGCAAACUGGAGUGUGUGAGAGGAUAGUGGAAGUCCAGGUGUAGGAGUGAAAUCCGUAGAUAUCUGGAGGAACAUCAGUGGCGAAGGCGACUAUCUGGCACAUAACUGACGCUGAGGAGCGAAAGCGUGGGUAGCAAACAGGAUUAGAUACCCUGGUAGUC
This 465-nucleotide ribosomal RNA is filed under the name uncultured bacterium. RNAcentral describes it as "partial 16S ribosomal RNA". It matches the Rfam family "Bacterial small subunit ribosomal RNA", at positions 338 to 795 of the family's 1533-position model. The record is from RNAcentral.